CAACUUGGUGGCCGAAAAAGAGUUAAUAUAUAAAGCAUAUGGGGUCUCCAACUGCAUGCAAGAAUAACCUGGAGAGACUUUGACAGCACAGGUCAACAUAAUUCCUGUAGCUGCCACUCAACUUUCCUAUAUUU
Erinaceus europaeus (western European hedgehog) is the source of this 134-nucleotide non-coding RNA. The record is from Rfam. Lineage: Eukaryota; Metazoa; Chordata; Mammalia; Eulipotyphla; Erinaceidae.